RNAcentral lists this ribosomal RNA (490 nucleotides) under uncultured bacterium. RNAcentral's name for it is "partial 16S ribosomal RNA". It matches the Rfam family "Bacterial small subunit ribosomal RNA", at positions 29 to 507 of the family's 1533-position model. The record is from RNAcentral.
AGUGAACGCUGGCGGCAGGCCUAAUACAUGCAAGUCGAACGGCAGCACAGUGUAGCUUGCUCCAUGGGUGGCGCGUGGCGGACGGGUGUGGAAUACAUGGGAAUCUGCCCAGUCGUGGGGGAUAACGUAGGGAAACUUACGCUAAUACCGCAUGCGCCCUUCGGGGGAAAGCCGGGGACCUUCGGGCCUGGCGCGAUUGCAUGAGCCCAGGUUCGAUUAGCUAGUUGGCGGGGUAAAGGCCCACCAAGGCGACGAUCGAUAGCGGGUCUGAGAGGAGGAUCAGCAACACGGGGACUGAGACACGGCCCAGACUCCUACGGGAGGCAGCAGAAGGGAAUAUUGGACAAUGGGCGCAAGCCUGAUCCAGCCAUGCCGCGUGAGUGAAGAAGGCCCUCGGGUUUUAAAGCUCUUUUGUCCGGGAAGAAAAGCAUCGGGCUAAUACCUCGGUGUUCUGACGGUACCGGAAGAAUAAGCACCGGCUAACUUCGUG